RNAcentral lists this ribosomal RNA (460 nucleotides) under uncultured bacterium. RNAcentral's name for it is "partial 16S ribosomal RNA". It matches the Rfam family "Bacterial small subunit ribosomal RNA", at positions 338 to 795 of the family's 1533-position model. The record is from RNAcentral.
CCUACGGGGCGCAGCAGUGAGGAAUAUUGGUCAAUGGACGAGAGUCUGAACCAGCCAUGUAGCGUGAAGGAUGACUGCUCUAUGAGUUGUAAACUUCUUUUAUACAGGAAUAAACCGAGGUACGCGUGUCUUUCUGCAAGUAUCUUAUGAAUAAGGAUCGGCUAACUCCGUGCCAGCAGCCGCGGUAAUACGGAGGAUUCGAGCGUUAUCCGGAUUUAUUGGGUUUAAAGGGAGCGUAGAUGGGUUGUUAAGUUAGUUGUGAAAUUCUGAGGCUCAACCGUUGAAUUGCAAUUGAUACUGGCAGUCUUGAGUACAGUUGAGGUAGGCGGAAUGUGUGGUGUAGCGGUGAAAUGCUUAGAUAUCACAAAGAACCCCGAUUGCGAAGGCAGCUUACCAAGCUGCGACUGACAUUGAUGCUCGAAAGUGUGGGUAUCAAACAGGAGUAGAUACCCCAGUAGUC